Molecule: ribosomal RNA, 721 nt
Filed under: uncultured beta proteobacterium
Lineage: Bacteria; Pseudomonadati; Pseudomonadota; Betaproteobacteria
Description: bacterial SSU rRNA
Rfam family: Bacterial small subunit ribosomal RNA
Source: RNAcentral
CGGCAGCACGGGGGGUAACCCCUGGUGGCGAGUGGCGAACGGGUGAGUAAUAUAUCGGAACAUGCCCUGUAGCGGGGGAUAACGCGUCGAAAGAUGUGCUAAUACCGCAUACGCUCUACGGAGGAAAGCGGGGGUCGCAAGACCUCGCACUAUAGGAGUGGCCGAUAUCGGAUUAGCUAGUUGGCGGGGUAAAAGCCCACCAAGGCGACGAUCCGUAGCUGGUCUGAGAGGAUGAUCAGCCACACUGGAACUGAGACACGGUCCAGACUCCUACGGGAGGCAGCAGUGGGGAAUUUUGGACAAUGGGCGCAAGCCUGAUCCAGCCAUGCCGCGUGAGUGAAGAAGGCCUUCGGGUUGUAAAGCUCUUUCGGCAGGAACGAAAUGGUUCGUGUUAAUACCACGGACUGAUGACGGUACCUGAAGAAGAAGCACCGGCUAACUACGUGCCAGCAGCCGCGGUAAUACGUAGGGUGCAGGCGUUAAUCGGAAUUACUGGGCGUAAAGCGUGCGCAGGCGGUUUCUUAAGUCAGAUGUGAAAUCCCCGGGCUUAACCUGGGAACUGCGUUUGAAACUGGGAGACUUGAGUGUGGCAGAGGGGGGUGGAAUUCCACGUGUAGCAGUGAAAUGCGUAGAUAUGUGGAGGAACACCAAUGGCGAAGGCAGCCCCCUGGGUCAACACUGACGCUCAUGCACGAAAGCGUGGGGAGCAAACAGGAUUAGA